Molecule: ribosomal RNA, 350 nt
Filed under: uncultured bacterium
Lineage: Bacteria
Description: bacterial SSU rRNA
Rfam family: Bacterial small subunit ribosomal RNA
Source: RNAcentral
CCGGAGUCAGGGAUAACGUAUGGAAACGUACGCUAAUACUUGAUGGUGUCGCAAGACUAAAGAUUUAUCGCUCCGGGAAGAGCCUGCGCAGUAUCAGCUAGUUGGUAGUGUAAUGGACUACCAAGGCUAUGACGCUUAGGGGAGGUGAGAGCCUGACCCCCACCGAUGGGACUGAGACACGGCCCAUACACCUACGGGUGGCUGCAGUCGAGAAUCUUCCGCAAUGGGCGAAAGCCUGACGGAGCGACGUCGCGUGAUUGAUGAAGUCCCACUGGGAUGUAAAAAUCUUUUAUAGAGGAGAAAUUCGGAUUUAUCCGGAGUGAUAGUACUCUAUGAAUAAGGGGUGCUAA